RNAcentral lists this ribosomal RNA (462 nucleotides) under Streptococcus mitis. RNAcentral describes it as "bacterial SSU rRNA". It matches the Rfam family "Bacterial small subunit ribosomal RNA", at positions 28 to 474 of the family's 1533-position model. Lineage: Bacteria; Bacillati; Bacillota; Bacilli; Lactobacillales; Streptococcaceae. The record is from RNAcentral.
GACGAACGCUGGCGGCGUGCCUAAUACAUGCAAGUAGAACGCUGAAGGAGGAGCUUGCUUCUCUGGAUGAGUUGCGAACGGGUGAGUAACGCGUAGGUAACCUGCCUGGUAGCGGGGGAUAACUAUUGGAAACGAUAGCUAAUACCGCAUAAUAGUAGAUGUUGCAUGACAUUUGCUUAAAAGGUGCAAUUGCAUCACUACCAGAUGGACCUGCGUUGUAUUAGCUAGUUGGUGAGGUAACGGCUCACCAAGGCGACGAUACAUAGCCGACCUGAGAGGGUGAUCGGCCACACUGGGACUGAGACACGGCCCAGACUCCUACGGGAGGCAGCAGUAGGGAAUCUUCGGCAAUGGACGGAAGUCUGACCGAGCAACGCCGCGUGAGUGAAGAAGGUUUUCGGAUCGUAAAGCUCUGUUGUAAGAGAAGAACGAGUGUGAGAGUGGAAAGUUCACACUGUGACG